This 299-nucleotide ribosomal RNA is filed under the name uncultured bacterium. RNAcentral describes it as "partial 16S ribosomal RNA". It matches the Rfam family "Bacterial small subunit ribosomal RNA", at positions 28 to 334 of the family's 1533-position model. The record is from RNAcentral.
GACGAACGCUGGCGGCAGGCCUAACACAUGCAAGUCGAGCGAGGAGCUAGUCUUCGGAUUAGUGGAGAGCGGCGGACGGGUGAGUAACGCGUGGGAACGUGCCCUUGAGGUUCGGGAUAACAUUGGGAAACUGGUGCUAAUACCGUAUACGCCCUGGCUUUUGUUGGGGGAAAGAUUUAUCGCCUUAGGAUCGGCCCGCGUAGGAUUAGGUAGUUGGUGUGGUAAUGGCGCACCAAGCCUGCGAUCUUUAGCUGGUCUGAGAGGAUGAUCAGCCACACUGGGACUGAGACACGGCCCAG